Phrynosoma platyrhinos (Desert horned lizard) is the source of this 73-nucleotide non-coding RNA. Lineage: Eukaryota; Metazoa; Chordata; Lepidosauria; Squamata; Phrynosomatidae. The record is from the annotation of a GenBank genome assembly.
GCCAGUGUGGCAUAGUGGUUUGCGUGGUUGGACUAUGACUCUGGAGACCAGGAUUCAAAUCCCUGCUUGGCCA